Long non-coding RNA from Etheostoma spectabile (orangethroat darter), 247 nucleotides. RefSeq lists it as uncharacterized. The transcript has 3 exons. Lineage: Eukaryota; Metazoa; Chordata; Actinopteri; Perciformes; Percidae. The record is from RefSeq and is a predicted model, not a curated record.
GUCAUAGUGAAAGGCCACGGCUUGACAUCUUUAGCAGGAGAAAUUAACCCUUUCCUUGAUUUCAUGUUGUUUAUGGAGAAGGAGAACCAGGAACGCUACCAAGCCAUGGCCGAGAGACGUGUCUCGCUGCGAUGUGUUGUUACAUUUUUUGAGAGGUGCACUUCAGGUUAUAGCGUAGGGUCCGGCAUAGACGCAGAGAGGUCGGCGGGGGUAUGCCAUCGAUUCUAUGCACAACCAUAAAACGGCC